CAGUCGUACUUAUGGGUAAUCAGCCUUUUGGGUGUGAUUUUGUGGAGUGUGAGGAGUUAAACGCCUUCAUGCCUGCAUAUUCGUAUACUUUGGGUGUACUUAUUCGUGUGGUAAGUUAACAUCAAUUUUGGUGAUCAAUAAAAUGACUAGAGGAAUGUAGCUUCGAUCUCGUAUUGAAGUGUUAUAGUCCUUUGGUAGAUGUGAUGAUCGGGGAUUGGAGGUAUUGACAACGGAUACCCUUCGGGGCUACCUGUCUGGUCUCUGAUCGUUG
This 271-nucleotide ribosomal RNA is filed under the name Rhizophagus irregularis. The record is from RNAcentral. Lineage: Eukaryota; Fungi; Glomeromycota; Glomeromycetes; Glomerales; Glomeraceae.